AUACGCGUCCUCCACUUUCUCUCUCCUCCUAUAAAGCUCUCCGAUCCCACAAUUCUCUCAGAACUCCGCAUCGGAGCCUUAAUUGAACCCGAUCUCCGCUGCCGGCGAGAACAAGGAAGGAGAGAGAUGAGCUACUACAACCAGCAGCAGCCCCCCGUUGGCGUCCCUCCCUCCCCAAGGAUAUCCACAGGAGGGGUACGCGAAGGAUGCUUAUCCGCCGCCGGGGUAUCCGCAGCAGGGGUACCCGCCGCAGGGGUACGCGCAGGGAUAUCCGCCUCAGGGGUACCCCUCGCAGGGUUACCCUCCGCCGUACGCCCAGCGCCACCUCAGCAGCAGCAGCAGAGCAGCGGGCCUUCCUUUGUCGAAGGAUGCUUGGCCGCGCUGUGUUGCUGCUGCCUUUUGGAUGCAUGCUUCUGAGACGGUAUGAGGGCUUGAUCCAAUCACACGGUUUUGGAUUGCAGCAGCGGCGGCAGCUUUCUGUGUGCAAGUCGGUGGGUCGUUGUUAGCUUUCUUUUUAGGAAACACGUUAUCUUACUCUGAAGCUUCCAUUUUUUUCCGUCGUUGUAAGAAGUCACCUGGAAUUGGAUUUGGCUAGGUAUCAUUCUCUAGUAGUUUAGAAGAUAAAAAAAUAAAAUAAAGACUUGAUUGAUGCUUCGGCAUGUCAUUAUUCGUGUUUACUUGUUCUCUUUGGUAUGUUCAUAUCUUUUUAUUUAC
This is a non-coding RNA of Phoenix dactylifera (date palm), 714 nucleotides long. The record is from RefSeq and is a predicted model, not a curated record. Lineage: Eukaryota; Viridiplantae; Streptophyta; Magnoliopsida; Arecales; Arecaceae.